AUGGCAUCCAUGGGCCGCUUUACAGUGGGUUCUCAUGUUUGGGUCGAGGAUGCUGAUGUUGCUUGGAUUGAUGGUCUGGUGGAGGAGGUCCAUGGGGAUGAAUUAAUAAUAAACUGCACUUCUGGGAAGAAGGUUACUGCCAAUGUGUCAAGUGUCUAUCCUAAGGAUGUAGAAGUAAAACGCUCUGGUGUUGAGGAUAUGACAAGGCUAGCUUAUUUACAUGAACCAGGAGUUCUCCGGAACUUGAAGUCAAGAUAUGGAAUGAAUGAAAUAUAUACUUAUACUGGGAACAUACUGAUAGCUGUAAAUCCGUUUCAAAGACUUCCUCACCUCUAUAAUGAUCAUAUGAUGGAAAUGUACAAAGGAGCCGAAUUUGGUGAGCUGAGUCCCCAUCCUUUUGCCAUGGCAGACCGUGCAUAUAGGCUUAUGAUGAAUUAUGGUAUCAGUCAAGCCAUUUUGGUGAGCGGCGAAAGUGGAGCUGGUAAGACAGAAAGCACUAAAAUGCUUAUGCAAUAUCUUGCUUUUAUGGGUGGCAAAGUUGAAUCUGGUGGGAGGUCAGUGCAACAACAAGUGCUGGAGUCCAAUCCUGUUCUCGAGGCAUUUGGAAAUGCAAAAACAGUCAGGAAUAAUAAUUCGAGUCGUUUCGGCAAAUUUGUUGAGCUCCAGUUUGAUCAGAAUGGGAAGAUCUCAGGAGCUGCUAUAAGGACUUACCUUUUGGAAAGAUCUCGUGUCUGUCAAAUAUCUGACCCAGAAAGAAAUUAUCACUGCUUUUACAUGCUAUGUGCUGCACCACCAGAGGACCGUGAGAGAUAUAAAUUGGGAGAUGCCUCAUUGUUUCACUAUCUCAAUCAGUCUAACUGCAUUAAGCUUGAUGGAAUGGAUGAUUCUUCAGAAUAUAUAGCAACCAGGAGAGCAAUGGAUAUUGUAGGCAUUAGUUCUGAUGAGCAGGAUGCCAUAUUCAGAGUUGUAGCUGCUAUUCUUCAUCUGGGCAAUGUGGAAUUUUCAGAAGGGAGCGAAGCAGAUUCUUCUGUACCCAAAGAUGACAAAUCCCAGUUCCAUCUCCGGACAGCUGCGGAGCUUUUCAUGUGUGAUGAAAAGUCUCUGGAGGAAUCUUUAUGUAAGCGUGUUAUGGUAACACGUGGUGAGAGUAUUGUAAGAAACUUGGAUUCACGAGCAGCAGCUCUUAGUAGAGAUGCAUUGGCCAGAAUCGUUUACUCCCGUUUGUUUGAUUGGCUUGUGAAUAAGAUCAAUACUACAAUAGGACAGGAUCCUACUUCAAAGCUUUUGAUUGGUGUGCUGGAUAUUUAUGGAUUUGAAAGUUUCAAGACAAACAGUUUCGAGCAGUUCUGUAUCAACUUAACUAAUGAGAAGCUCCAGCAACACUUUAAUCAGCAUGUUUUCAAGAUGGAGCAAGAAGAAUAUACAAAAGAAGAGAUUGAUUGGAGUUACAUCCAGUUUGUGGACAACCAAGACAUUCUUGAUCUCAUUGAGAAGAAACCAGGGGGGAUAAUUGCUCUACUGGAUGAGACUUGCAUGUUGCGAAAUUCGAACCAUGAAAUAUUCGCUGAAAAGCUAUAUCAAAAAUUCAAGGACAAUCCACACUUCAGCAGGCCAAAAUUUUCACGGUCUGAUUUUACUAUUCAUCACUAUGCGGGAAAUGUUACAUACCAAACGGAUCUAUUCUUAGAUAAGAACAUAGAUUAUGCUGUAAACGAGCAUCAAGAUUUAUUACAUGCUUCUACAUGUCCAUUCGUUUCAAGUCUUUUUCCUCCUUCUGAAGAAUCGACUAAAUCGAGUAAAUCCACAAAGUUCACAUCAAUAGGUUCGAGCUUUAAGCAACAAUUACAAGGUUUGUUGGAAACUCUCAGCGGAACAGAACCACAUUACAUGCGCUGCAUAAAGCCUAAUAAUGUUCUCAAGCCAGCAAUUUUUGAGAACAGUAAUGUUCUCCAGCAACUUCGAUGUGGGGGGGUGCUAGAGGCAAUAAGAAUAAGCUGUCUAGGAUAUCCGACAAGGCGGACAUUUGAAGAAUUUGUUGAUCGCUUUAGUGUUUUACGACCAGAAGUUCUUGGUUUACGUUAUGAUGAAGUUACUGCCACAAACAUGCUCCUUGAGAAAGUAAAUCUCACAGGUUAUCAGAUAGGGAAAACAAAAGUGUUUCUGCGUGCUGGUCAGAUGGCUGAAUUAGAUGCUCGGAGGACUGAGGUCUUGAGCUAUUCUGCUAGUAAAAUCCAGCGAAAAGUUCGGUCGUUCCUGGCUCGCAGAAAUUUCAUUCAGCUGCGAAUGUCUUCUGUUCAGCUUCAGGCAAUGUGCAGAGGACAAAUUGCAAGGCAUUAUUAUGAAGAUCUCCGUAGGAAGGCUGCUUCAUUAAAAAUUCAGACCUACUAUCGUAUGCACUUUGCAAGGAAAAACUACAAAGAUCUCUAUUCUGCAUCAACUACUAUACAAUCAGCUCUUCGUGGUAUGGCUGCUCGCAACGAAUUCCAUUUCCGUCAGCAAACAAAAGCGGCAGUGACUAUUCAGAGUUGCUGCCGUAGUGAUUUAGCAAGCUCACGGUACAUGGGCUUAAAGAAGGCAGCGAUCACAACCCAAUGUGCUUGGAGAGGAAGGCUGGCCAGAAGAGAACUUCGAAAACUUAAAAUGGCUGCAAAAGAAAGUGGUGCUCUGCAAGCUGCAAAGAAUAAGCUGGAGAAGCAAGUUGAGGAGCUCACUUGGCGGUUGCAACUGGAGAAACGCAUGAGGACUGACAUGGAAGAAGCCAAGACGCAAGAAAAUAAGAAGUUGCAACAACAAUUACAGGAGUUGCAAUUCCAGUCCAAGGAGACAAAAGAUAUAUUAAGAAGGGAACAGGAAAAUGCAAAAACAGCAUUGGAGAAAGCUGCCUUAGUACCAGAGAUUCAAGUUGAUACAACUCACGUUGACAAGCUUACUGCUGAAAAUGAGAAUCUUAAGACACUGGUGGUUUCUCUCGAGACAAAAAUUGAUGAAACAGAACAGAAGUUUGAAGAAAUGAAGAAAGCCAGAGAAGAAUUGCUGAAGAAAGCUACAGAUGCGGAGUCAAAGAUAAAUGGACUGACCAACACAAUGCUAAGUUUUCAAGAAAAGUUGACAAAUAUGGAAGCUGAAAAUCAACUUCUCCGGCAGCAGGCGCUGUUGCAUUCUCGUCUGAAAACAAUAUCUGAGAACACUUCUCCCAAAUCUAAUUCGACUAAUGGCAGCCCACUCCAUGUGGAACAGAUGACACCUCAUGGCACUCCUCGAGCACCCAAGGAUUAUGGGAACUUCGCACAUCCAAGGGCAUCCUUUUCUGAGAGGCAGCAUGAGAGUGUGGAUGCACUUAUAAACUGUGUUACUGAAAAUAUUGGCUUUAGCGAAGGAAAACCAGUUGCUGCAAUAACCAUAUACAAAUGUCUUGUUCACUGGAAGAUCUUUGAAACAGAAAAAACAUCUGUUUUUGAUAGGCUUAUUCAAAUUUUUGGUUCUGCGAUGCAGAAUCAUGAUAGCAACGAGGAUCUUGCAUACUGGCUAUCGAACUCAUCGACUUUAUUGAUUAUACUACAAAAGAGCCUAAAAGCUGUUGGCUCAGCCGGAACCACUCCACAUAAAAGACCACAGAGUCAGUCAUCGUUCCUUGGGAGGAUGGUAUUUCGUACUUCAAACAUUACUGUCGAUAUGGAUCUUGUGCGUCAAAUCGAAGCCAAGUAUCCUGCAUUUCUUUUCAAGCAGCAACUUACAGCAUUUGUGGAAGGCUUAUAUGGAAUGAUCCGUGACAAUGUCAAGAAAGAAUUAUCUGCAUUGCUCUUGCAUGCUAUUCAGGUCCCGAGAAUUAUGAAAGCCAGUAUGGUAAGACGUUCAUUUGGGUCAUCAAGUUUGAGGGGGCGUUCAUUUUCAAAUCAAGGUAGCUAUUGGCUGGCGAUAGUUGACAAUUUGAAUGAACUCUUGAAUAUCUUGCGAGAAAAUUGUGUCCCUGCUAUUUUUAUUCGGAAGAUAUUUACCCAGAUUUUCUCAUUUAUCAACGCUCAACUUUUCAAUAGUCUUCUUGUGCGCCAUGAGUGCUGCUCUUUUAGCAACGGAGAAUAUGUAAAACAAGGAUUGGCACAACUAGAGGUGUGGUGUGGAGAAGUGAAACCAGAGUAUGCAGGAUCUGCAUUGCAUGAACUCAGGCACAUAAGGCAAGCUGUUGGUUUCUUGGUCAUAUUCAAGAAGUUCAGGAUUUCAUAUGAUGAGAUAGUCAAUGAUCUCUGCCCAGUGCUAAGUGUCCAGCAGCUCUACAAAAUAUGCACUCAGUACUGGGAUGACAAAUAUAACACAGAGAGUGUAUCUGAAGAAGUUCUUGACGAAAUGAGAACUUUGAUGACAGAGGAAUUGGGCCAUAAUGCUUCAGAGGGCGCCUUUUUACUGGAUGAUGAAAUAAGCAUGCCGAUAUCACUUGAGGAGAUAGCAGAUUCCAUGGAUGCUAAGGAAUUUCAAAACGUGGCCCCACCAUCAGAACUCGUCGCAAUGUCUGCCUUCCAGUUCUUGAAAAGUUGA
Molecule: ribosomal RNA, 4530 nt
Filed under: Triticum aestivum (bread wheat)
Lineage: Eukaryota; Viridiplantae; Streptophyta; Magnoliopsida; Poales; Poaceae
Description: partial small subunit ribosomal RNA
Source: RNAcentral